UCUACGGGUGGCUGCAGUGGGGAAUAUUGGACAAUGGGCGAAAGCCUGAUCCAGCCAUGCCGCGUGUGUGAAGAAGGCCUUCGGGUUGUAAAGCACUUUCAGUGGGGAAGAAAGCCUUGGGGCUAAUACCCUCGAGGAAGGACAUCACCCACAGAAGAAGCACCGGCUAACUCCGUGCCAGCAGCCGCGGUAAUACGGAGGGUGCGAGCGUUAAUCGGAAUUACUGGGCGUAAAGCGCGCGUAGGCGGUCUGAUAAGCCGGUUGUGAAAGCCCCGGGCUCAACCUGGGAACGGCAUCCGGAACUGUCAGGCUAGAGUGCAGGAGAGGAAGGUAGAAUUCCCGGUGUAGCGGUGAAAUGCGUAGAGAUCGGGAGGAAUACCAGUGGCGAAGGCGGCCUUCUGGACUGACACUGACGCUGAGGUGCGAAAGCGUGGGUAGCAAACAGGAUUAGAUACCCCAGAGUC
RNAcentral lists this ribosomal RNA (464 nucleotides) under Vreelandella stevensii. RNAcentral's name for it is "partial 16S ribosomal RNA". It matches the Rfam family "Bacterial small subunit ribosomal RNA", at positions 338 to 795 of the family's 1533-position model. Lineage: Bacteria; Pseudomonadati; Pseudomonadota; Gammaproteobacteria; Oceanospirillales; Halomonadaceae. The record is from RNAcentral.